GGGUAGGUGGCGAAAUUGGUAGACGCAGUAGGUUCAGGACCUACUGCCAUAAUCUGGCGUGUGGGUUCGAAUCCCACCCUACCCA
RNAcentral lists this transfer RNA (85 nucleotides) under Candidatus Parcubacteria bacterium. Its description in RNAcentral is "tRNA-Leu". It matches the Rfam family "tRNA". Rfam says of the family: Transfer RNA (tRNA) molecules are approximately 80 nucleotides in length. Their secondary structure includes four short double-helical elements and three loops (D, anti-codon, and T loops). Lineage: Bacteria; Candidatus Parcubacteria. The record is from RNAcentral.